This 611-nucleotide ribosomal RNA is filed under the name Psychrobacter sp. Its description in RNAcentral is "bacterial SSU rRNA". It matches the Rfam family "Bacterial small subunit ribosomal RNA", at positions 123 to 731 of the family's 1533-position model. The record is from RNAcentral. Lineage: Bacteria; Pseudomonadati; Pseudomonadota; Gammaproteobacteria; Moraxellales; Moraxellaceae.
AAUCUACCUAGUAGUGGGGGAUAGCUCGGGGAAACUCGAAUUAAUACCGCAUACGACCUACGGGAGAAAGGGGGCAACUUGUUGCUCUCGCUAUUAGAUGAGCCUAAGUCGGAUUAGCUAGAUGGUGGGGUAAAGGCCUACCAUGGCGACGAUCUGUAGCUGGUCUGAGAGGAUGAUCAGCCACACCGGGACUGAGACACGGCCCGGACUCCUACGGGAGGCAGCAGUGGGGAAUAUUGGACAAUGGGGGCAACCCUGAUCCAGCCAUGCCGCGUGUGUGAAGAAGGCCUUUUGGUUGUAAAGCACUUUAAGCAGUGAAGAAGACUCCAUGGUUAAUACCCAUGGACGAUGACAUUAGCUGCAGAAUAAGCACCGGCUAACUCUGUGCCAGCAGCCGCGGUAAUACAGAGGGUGCAAGCGUUAAUCGGAAUUACUGGGCGUAAAGCGAGCGUAGGUGGCUUGAUAAGUCAGAUGUGAAAGCCCCGGGCUUAACCUGGGAACGGCAUCUGAUACUGUUAGGCUAGAGUAGGUGAGAGGAAGGUAGAAUUCCAGGUGUAGCGGUGAAAUGCGUAGAGAUCUGGAGGAAUACCGAUGGCGAAGGCAGCCUUCUG